RNAcentral lists this unclassified non-coding RNA (303 nucleotides) under Hevea brasiliensis (rubber tree). The record is from RNAcentral. Lineage: Eukaryota; Viridiplantae; Streptophyta; Magnoliopsida; Malpighiales; Euphorbiaceae.
AGCAACGAAGAGACAGGCGAUCCAUCGGUAAAGGAUAUGCGGAACCGUCUUGUCCAGCAGGUGCUGGUAACGCCGCGAAACGGCGAAGGUCCACCGUGAAAAGAUAGUGACAGGGGACGAAGAUAGGGAGGAGAGAUCGUCUCCGGUGAGGGCUCCACCGGGCUGUACACUGUCCAUAUGUCGGCCCGGAAAAUGAGUAGCGGUUCUCUUAAAUGUAUUUAUCGGGGAGCGUAAGCAUAGCCAAGGUCCGAUUGGGUCAGAAAUCGGCCGAGUAAAUUAAAAGUUCACGAAUUUGUUCACUCC